RNAcentral lists this ribosomal RNA (433 nucleotides) under uncultured bacterium. RNAcentral describes it as "partial 16S ribosomal RNA". It matches the Rfam family "Bacterial small subunit ribosomal RNA", at positions 29 to 507 of the family's 1533-position model. The record is from RNAcentral.
AACGAACGCUGGCGGCAUGCCUAACACAUGCAAGUCGAACGAGACCUUCGGGUCUAGUGGCGCAUGGGUGCGUAACGCGUGGGAACCUGCCCUUAGGCUCGGAAUAACUCCCCGACAGGGGUGCUAAUACCGGAUAAUGUCUUCGGACCAAAGAUUUAUCGCCUUUGGUUGGGCCCGCGUUGGAUUAGCUAGUUGGUAGGGUAAAAGCCUACCAAGGCGACGAUGCAUAGCUGGUCUGAGAGGAUGGUCAGCCACACUGGGACUGGGACACGGCCCAGACUCCUCCGGGAGGGAGCAGUGGGGAAUGUUGGACGAUGGGCGAAAGCCUGAUGCAUCAAUGCCGCGUAAGUGAUGUAGGCCUGAGGGUUGUAAAGCUCUUUUACCCGGGAUGAUAAUGACAGUACCGGAAGAGUAAGCUACGGCUAACUCCGUG